RNAcentral lists this long non-coding RNA (820 nucleotides) under Brassica napus (rape). Its description in RNAcentral is "long non-coding RNA (BNAP_LNC019320)". Lineage: Eukaryota; Viridiplantae; Streptophyta; Magnoliopsida; Brassicales; Brassicaceae. The record is from RNAcentral.
AAAAAACAAUUGUAUUGGUUUUUUUUUCAGCCAUUGAUUGAUUUUAAUCAAAGGCUCACAGUCAAUCUUCUCUCUAUCUGCGUCCUCCUUUCCUAUUGGACAAUCCAUCAAAAUUGGGAUUAUUAUUUCUGGCCAUUGAUUAAUUGUAAUCCAGUGGCCAAGAAUCAAUCUUGUUCAUUUCUCUUCCUUUGUACGCUUUCUCUCUCUCUUUCUUCUUUUCAAGCCGACACCAUCUCCUUCUUCGAUGUCUUCUCUGUUUCUCUAUUAUGGUUGUUUGAGCUCUAAUUGCAUCUGUUUGUGUUUAUUGCAGAAGAGGACAGACAGAGGAGACAGAGAGAAAUAUAUUAGACGAAGGCGAUUGUGUUGAAGUGGAGAAAUCAGAUUCGGAGCUGAAGUCUCUGAACGGCGAGAAUUGGUGUGGAAGAGGCGAAGAUUGCGGUGAGAUAAUGAAGUAGAAGAGGAAGAGGCGAAGGUUGUGGUCGAUCUGCACGAGCACCGAACACCUGAGGUGUACAUCGGAUCUGGAAAGAUGACGACGACAGCGCGAGCAGGUCCAAGCUUGGUGAGGAAGAAGCUGGAAGAGAGAGAGAGAGAGAGCUCUGAUAUUUCUGGAAGACGAUGACGAUGGAGGCGAGCAGGUCGGAUCUCCGGUGAGGAAGCAACGAUGACACAGGAAGGAGAAGUGGUGGAGUGGUCGUGCGGCGGUGAGGUGGUGCGACGGAAAUAUAUAUAUAUAUGUAUCAUAUAUUAAUAUGUAUAAUAUAUUAAUGUAAAUUUAUAUACAGAUUUUGUAUUUUAUUAAUAAAAUUUGUUUUGUUUU